AUUGAACGCUGGCGGCAGGCCUAACACAUGCAAGUCGAGCGGAUGAAGGGAGCUUGCUCCUGGAUUCAGCGGCGGACGGGUGAGUAAUGCCUAGGAAUCUGCCUGGUAGUGGGGGAUAACGUCCGGAAACGGGCGCUAAUACCGCAUACGUCCUGAGGGAGAAAGUGGGGGAUCUUCGGACCUCACGCUAUCAGAUGAGCCUAGGUCGGAUUAGCUAGUUGGUGGGGUAAAGGCCUACCAAGGCGACGAUCCGUAACUGGUCUGAGAGGAUGAUCAGUCACACUGGAACUUAGACACGGUCCAUACUCCUACGGGAGGCAGCAGUGGGGAAUAUUGGACAAUGGUCGAAAGCCUUAUCCAGCCAUGCCGCGUGUGUUAAGAAGGUCUUCGGAUUGUAAAGCACUUUAAGUUGGGAGGAAGCGCAUUAAGUUAAUACCUUGCUGUUUUGACGUUACCAACAGAAUAAGCACCGGCUAACUUCGUG
Molecule: ribosomal RNA, 484 nt
Filed under: uncultured bacterium
Lineage: Bacteria
Description: partial 16S ribosomal RNA
Rfam family: Bacterial small subunit ribosomal RNA
Source: RNAcentral